This 409-nucleotide ribosomal RNA is filed under the name uncultured bacterium. Its description in RNAcentral is "bacterial SSU rRNA". It matches the Rfam family "Bacterial small subunit ribosomal RNA", at positions 94 to 500 of the family's 1533-position model. The record is from RNAcentral.
AGUGGCGGACGGGUGAGUAACGCGUAGGAAUCUGCCUUAUAGUGGGGGACAACGUGGGGAAACCCACGCUAAUACCGCAUACGCCCUACGGGGGAAAGGAGGGGAUCUUCGGACCUUUCGCUAUGAGAUGAGCCUGCGUUAGAUUAGCUAGUUGGUAGGGUAAAGGCCUACCAAGGCGACGAUCUAUAGCUGGUCUGAGAGGACGAUCAGCCACGCUGGGACUGAGACACGGCCCAGACUCCUACGGGAGGCAGCAGUGGGGAAUAUUGGACAAUGGGCGAAAGCCUGAUCCAGCAAUACCGCGUGUGUGAAGAAGGCCUUAGGGUUGUAAAGCACUUUCAAUUGGGAGGAAAACCUACCGGUCAAUACCCGGUAGCUUGACAUUACCUUUAGAAGAAGCACCGGCUAA